CUCCGCCCGGGGCCCCCUCCGCGGCCGUCCCCGCGUUCCCACUUCCUUUCCAGCCAGCCGGCCGCCCGUCCCUUCGGAAGCCGGGCUUCUGGGAGCAGGGGCGCGAGGCAGCGCGAGGCAGCCCGCGGGGCGGGGGCGCUCGACCUUCCCGCCCCCGGGUCACCCAGGGGCCGCUCCUGCCCUCGCCCGCAGCCGGCUGCUUUCCCCCAACUACCUGUCCGAGCAGCCGCCCGGAGACGUCCCCAGGCCAGGCCCGCCUCGCCGGGGUCCCCCAUCUGCACCGCGGCGCGCUCUCCAGGGAGCCAGGGCACUGCCCCGUCCCUCUCCCUCUCGGCCUCCCGCUUCUGCGCUCUUUGCGCUUUUGUGGGCUCCGCCACUCGACGCGACCCAGCCUUGGCGCUGUCACCCCUCCCACUGAGAGUUUGCAGUGUGGACACCGGCGAGCGAGCACACCUUUUUGGCUCUGGACGUCCAGAUUUCUUGAAUCCAGAUGAUAAUGUGGCGUUCUGCACGAAGAUUAGACCUGCAGUCUCGUUCCUUACACAGCCAGCUGCCAAGGCUGCAGGUGCCAAGUCCUGUUCUCUGUGCGCUGAGCUACACACGCGGGAAUAACGUGGAGGACCAUCGUCAGGAUUUUAGGCUGGAGCAUCUGGAUGAGUCUACACAGCCCCUUCCCCAGUCAGCUCCUAAGUCUUCCCACUCACCUGACAGUGUCAGAGACACUCAGUCAUCAAGGAGUCCAGAUAUUCAGCUCAUCUCCAUCCUGCUCCCCAAUUCCUCUGCCCAUGUGACUUUGAGAGUUUCUCCACGCCAUCCUGAAGCCCGAGGUCUUCAUGUCCGAGCCUGGCUGAUGACGCCUCCUAUGUCUCCCUGGCUGUUCUGA
RNAcentral lists this long non-coding RNA (883 nucleotides) under Chinchilla lanigera (long-tailed chinchilla). RNAcentral's name for it is "lncRNA (ENSCLAG00000029176.1)". The record is from RNAcentral. Lineage: Eukaryota; Metazoa; Chordata; Mammalia; Rodentia; Chinchillidae.